GGCUUCAUGGCUCAGUUGAUUAGAGCUUCGCAGCGGCAUCGAGAGGUCACGGGUUCAAACCCCGUUGAAGUCC
RNAcentral lists this transfer RNA (73 nucleotides) under Acropora cervicornis. Its description in RNAcentral is "tRNA-OTHER". It matches the Rfam family "tRNA". Rfam says of the family: Transfer RNA (tRNA) molecules are approximately 80 nucleotides in length. Their secondary structure includes four short double-helical elements and three loops (D, anti-codon, and T loops). Lineage: Eukaryota; Metazoa; Cnidaria; Anthozoa; Scleractinia; Acroporidae. The record is from RNAcentral.